CGCUGGCGGCGUGCCUAACACAUGCAAGUCGAACGGAGUGCUUCAUCAGAUUCUUCGGAAUGAAGAUGGAGUUACUUAGUGGCGGACGGGUGAGUAACGCGUGAGGAACCUGCCUUCCAGAGGGGGGACAACAGUUAGAAAUGACUGCUAAUACCGCAUAUGCCUAAGUAACACAUGUUACAAUAGGGAAAGGAGCAAUCCGCUGAUAGAUGAGCUUGCGUCUGAUUAGAUAGUUGGUGGGGUAACGGCCUACCAAGUCGACGAUCAGUAGCCGGACUGAGAGGUUGAACGGCCACAUUGGGACUGAGAUACGGCCCAGACUCCUACGGGAGGCAGCAGUCGGGAAUAUUGCGCAAUGGAGGAAACUCUGACGCAGUGACGCCGCGUGCAGGAAGAAGGUUUUCGGAUUGUAAACUGCUUUAGACAGGGAAGAAACAAGACAGUACCUGUAGAAUAAGCUCCGGCUAACUACGUG
This 475-nucleotide ribosomal RNA is filed under the name uncultured bacterium. RNAcentral describes it as "bacterial SSU rRNA". It matches the Rfam family "Bacterial small subunit ribosomal RNA", at positions 34 to 507 of the family's 1533-position model. The record is from RNAcentral.